Molecule: ribosomal RNA, 497 nt
Filed under: uncultured bacterium
Lineage: Bacteria
Description: partial 16S ribosomal RNA
Rfam family: Bacterial small subunit ribosomal RNA
Source: RNAcentral
GAUGAACGCUGGCGGCGUGCCUAAUACAUGCAAGUCGAGCGAACAGACGAGGAGCUUGCUGCUUUGACGUUAGGGGCGGACGGGUGUGUAACACGUGGAUAACCUACCUAUAAGACUGGGAUAAUUUCGGGAAACCGGAGCUAAUACCGGAUAAUAUUUUGAACCGCAUGGUGCGAUAGUGAAAGACGGUCUUGCUGUCACUAAUAGAUGGAUCCGCGCUGGAUGAGCUAGUUGGUAAGGUAAAGGCUUACCAAGGCAACGAUGCAUGGCCGACCUGAGAGGGUGGUCGGCCACACUGGAACUGGGACACGGUCCAGACUCCUACGGGAGGCCGCAGUAGCGUAUCUUCCGCAAUGGGCGAAAGCCUGACGGAGCAACGCCGCGUGAGUGAUGAAGGUCUUCGGAUCGUAAUGCUCUGUUAUUAGGGAAGAACAUAUGUGUAAGUAACUGUGCACUUCUUGACGGUACCUAAUCAGAAAGCCACGGCUAACUACGUG